CGUGUAGGCGGCCAGGUAGGUCCGUUGUGAAAACUCGAGGCUCAACCUCGAGACGUCGGCGGAAACCCUCUGGCUAGAGUCCGGAAGAGGAGAGUGGAAUUCCUGGUGUAGCGGUGAAAUGCGCAGAUAUCAGGAAGAACACCCGUGGCGAAGGCGGCUCUCUGGGACGGUACUGACGCUGAGACGCGAAAGCGUGGGGAGCAAACA
This 207-nucleotide ribosomal RNA is filed under the name uncultured bacterium. Its description in RNAcentral is "partial 16S ribosomal RNA". It matches the Rfam family "Bacterial small subunit ribosomal RNA", at positions 568 to 774 of the family's 1533-position model. The record is from RNAcentral.